Molecule: ribosomal RNA, 271 nt
Filed under: uncultured archaeon
Lineage: Archaea
Description: partial 16S ribosomal RNA
Rfam family: Archaeal small subunit ribosomal RNA
Source: RNAcentral
CAGCGCCACAAGUGGCAAUCACGUUUAUUGGGCCUAAAGCGUCCGUAGCCGGUUUAGCAAAUCUUUUGUGAAAUCGUCAGGCUUAACUUGACGAAUUGCAGAAGACACUACUAAACUAGGGACUGGGAGGAGUCAGAAGUAUUCUGGGGGGACCGGUAAAAUGGUAUAAUCCCCAGAGGACUACCGAUGGCGAAGGCAUCUGACCAGAACAGAUCCGACGGUGAGGGACGAAAGCCAGGGGAGCAAACCGGAUUAGAUACCCGCGUAGUCC